GACGUAGGGCGCGAGCGUUGUCCGGAUUUAUUGGGCGUAAAGAGCUCGUAGGCGGCUUGUUACGUCGACUGUGAAAACCCGCGGCUCAACUGCGGGCCUGCAGUCGAUACGGGCAGGCUAGAGUUCGGUAGGGGAGACUGGAAUUCCUGGCGUAGCGGUGAAAUGCGCAGAUAUCAGGAGGAACACCGGUGGCGAAGGCGGGUCUCUGGGCCGAUACUGACGCUGAGGAGCGAAAGCGUGGGGAGCGAACAGG
Molecule: ribosomal RNA, 253 nt
Filed under: uncultured bacterium
Lineage: Bacteria
Description: partial 16S ribosomal RNA
Rfam family: Bacterial small subunit ribosomal RNA
Source: RNAcentral